GGAAAUCGAAAUGGCUACGGAAAAGCUGCGAAAGAUGAUUAACAUGCUGGAAGCAAAAGGCAAAGUUUACGGAAUUUGUAGGGUUUGACGCCCACGGUCCUUUUCGUUUGAGGCCCGAAGUCUCGUCCGGGCGACACUCGCGAUGUACGAAGUUUGGUGAAGCCUUGCCAUAAGACCUACUUAGGAAGAUCCUAUUCGAACACCAAAACUGCGAAAAAAAUAUAUUGAUGUCUAUUAUUAUAACGAAGUUUUGUGAAGCCUUGCCAUAAGACUUACUUAGGAAGAUCCAAUUCUAACACCAAAACUGCGAAAAAUAUAUUGAUGUCUCUUAUUAUAAAACUUAAAAGUUUCACACCAAAACUGCAAAUUAUUAUAAAACUUAAAAGUUUCACACCAAAACUGCAAAAAAUAUAUUGAUGUCUCUUAUUAUAAAACUUGAAGCCUUGCCAUAAGACCUACUUAGGAAGAUCCUAUUCGAACACCAAAACUGCGAAAAAUAUAUUGA
This 505-nucleotide long non-coding RNA is filed under the name Amborella trichopoda. RNAcentral describes it as "long non-coding RNA (ATRI_LNC001739)". The record is from RNAcentral. Lineage: Eukaryota; Viridiplantae; Streptophyta; Magnoliopsida; Amborellales; Amborellaceae.